GUGCCAGCAGCCGCGGUAAAACGUAGGACGCGAGCGUUAUCCGGAUUUACUGGGCGUAAAGCGCAUGCAGGCGGCCUUGUAAGUCGGAUGUGAAAUCUCCCGGCUCAACUGGGAGGCGUCAUUCGAUACUGCAAGGCUUGAGGGCAGGAGAGGGGAGUGGAAUUCCCGGUGUAGUGGUGAAAUGCGUAGAUAUCGGGAGGAACACCAGUGGCGAAGGCGGCUCCCUGGCCUGUACCUGACGCUAAGAUGCGAAAGCGUGGGGAGCGAACGGGAUUAGAAACCCCGGUAGUCCACGCCGUAAACGAUGCGGACUAGGUGUGGGAGGUAUUGACCCCUUCCGUGCCGUAGCUAACGCGUUAAGUCCGCCGCCUGGGGACUACGGCCGCAAGGCUGAAACUCAAAGGAAUUGACGGGG
This 415-nucleotide ribosomal RNA is filed under the name uncultured prokaryote. RNAcentral's name for it is "bacterial SSU rRNA". It matches the Rfam family "Bacterial small subunit ribosomal RNA", at positions 505 to 918 of the family's 1533-position model. The record is from RNAcentral.